UAGGGAAUCUUCCACAAUGGACGAAAGUCUGAUGGAGCAACGCCGCGUGAGUGAAGAAGGGUUUCGGCUCGUAAAACUCUGUUGUCAAAGAAGAACAUAUCUGAGAGUAACUGUUCAGGUAUUGACGGUAUUUAACCAGAAAGCCACGGCUAACUACGUGCCAGCAGCCGCGGUAAUACGUAGGUGGCAAGCGUUGUCCGGAUUUAUUGGGCGUAAAGCGAGCGCAGGCGGUUUUUUAAGUCUGAUGUGAAAGCCUUCGGCUCAACCGAAGAAGUGCAUCGGAAACUGGGAAACUAGAGUGCAGAAGAGGACAGUGGAACUCCAUGUGUAGCGGUGAAAUGCGUAGAUAUAUGGAAGAACACCAGUGGCGAAGGCAGCUGUCUGGUCUGUAACUGACGCUGAGGCUCGAAAGUAUGGGUAGCAAACAGG
Molecule: ribosomal RNA, 429 nt
Filed under: Acidobacteriota bacterium
Lineage: Bacteria; Pseudomonadati; Acidobacteriota
Description: Acidobacteria bacterium partial 16S ribosomal RNA
Rfam family: Bacterial small subunit ribosomal RNA
Source: RNAcentral